Molecule: ribosomal RNA, 119 nt
Filed under: Nitzschia inconspicua
Lineage: Eukaryota; Bacillariophyta; Bacillariophyceae; Bacillariales; Bacillariaceae
Source: RNAcentral
GGAAACGACCAUACCAACAUGACAACACCGCUUCCCUUCCGCUCAGCGAAGUUAAGCAUGUUGGUGCCUGUUUAGUACUACGGUGGGGGACCACGUUGGAUUCCCAGGUGUUGUUCUGU